RNAcentral lists this ribosomal RNA (253 nucleotides) under uncultured bacterium. RNAcentral describes it as "partial 16S ribosomal RNA". It matches the Rfam family "Bacterial small subunit ribosomal RNA", at positions 524 to 776 of the family's 1533-position model. The record is from RNAcentral.
UACGGAGGGUGCGAGCGUUAAUCGGAAUUACUGGGCGUAAAGCGCACGUAGGCGGUUUGGUAAGUCGGAUGUGAAAGCCCUGGGCUUAACCUAGGAAUUGCAUUCGAUACUGCCUGACUAGAGUAUGGUAGAGGGAAGUGGAAUUUCCGGUGUAGCGGUGAAAUGCGUAGAUAUCGGAAGGAACACCAGUGGCGAAGGCGACUUCCUGGGCCAAUACUGACGCUGAGGUGCGAAAGCGUGGGGAGCAAACAGG